UACGUAGGGUGCGAGCGUUAAUCGGAAUUACUGGGCGUAAAGCGUGCGCAGGCGGUUUUGUAAGCCAGAUGUGAAAGCCCCGGGCUUAACCUGGGAAUGGCAUUUGGGACUGCAAGGCUUGAGUGCGGCAGAGGAGACUGGAAUUCCUGGUGUAGCAGUGAAAUGCGUAGAUAUCAGGAGGAAUACCGAUGGCGAAGGCAGGUCUCUGGGCUGACACUGAUGCUCAUGCACGAAAGCGUGGGGAGCAAACAGG
This 253-nucleotide ribosomal RNA is filed under the name uncultured bacterium. RNAcentral's name for it is "partial 16S ribosomal RNA". It matches the Rfam family "Bacterial small subunit ribosomal RNA", at positions 524 to 776 of the family's 1533-position model. The record is from RNAcentral.